UACAGAGGCCUCAAGCGUUGUUCGGAUUCAUUGGGCGUAAAGAGCGUGUAGGCGGCCCGGUAAGUCCGCUGUGAAAGUCCAGGGCUCAACCCUGGGAUGCCGGUGGAUACUGUCGGGCUCGAGUCCGGAAGAGGAGUGUGGAAUUCCUGGUGUAGCGGUGAAAUGCGCAGAUAUCAGGAGGAACACCAAUGGCGAAGGCAGCACUCUGGGACGUGACUGACGCUGAGACGCGAAAGCGUGGGGAGCAAACAGG
This 253-nucleotide ribosomal RNA is filed under the name uncultured bacterium. RNAcentral describes it as "partial 16S ribosomal RNA". It matches the Rfam family "Bacterial small subunit ribosomal RNA", at positions 524 to 776 of the family's 1533-position model. The record is from RNAcentral.